This 4829-nucleotide unclassified non-coding RNA is filed under the name Apis dorsata (giant honeybee). Its description in RNAcentral is "rNA-binding protein Musashi homolog Rbp6, transcript variant X14". Lineage: Eukaryota; Metazoa; Arthropoda; Insecta; Hymenoptera; Apidae. The record is from RNAcentral.
AUUGAACGACGUGUUUUAAUGAGGAAAAUGUUCAUCGGUGGUCUAUCAUGGCAGACCAGUCCAGAGAGCCUAAGGGAGUACUUCACCAAGUAUGGGGACAUCACAGAAGUCAUGGUCAUGAAAGAUCCCACCACGCGACGAUCAAGGGGUUUCGGAUUCAUCACGUUCGCAGAUCCCGCGAGUGUAGACAAAGUGCUGGCGCAGGGUAAUCACGAGUUGGACGGCAAGAAAAUCGACCCGAAGGUGGCGUUUCCCAGGAGAACACAUCCAAAGAUGGUGACAAGGACAAAGAAGAUAUUCGUCGGUGGACUAUCGGCACCGACGACGCUGGAGGACGUGAAAAACUACUUCGAGCAGUUCGGCCCGAUCGAGGACGCCAUGCUGAUGUUCGACAAACAGACCAACAGGCACAGAGGUUUUGGCUUCGUCACGUUUCAAAGUGAGGAUGUGGUCGACAAAGUCUGCGAGAUUCAUUUCCACGAAAUCAACAACAAAAUGGUCGAAUGCAAGAAAGCACAGCCGAAGGAAGUGAUGCUCCCGGCGAACCUGGCGAAGACGCGAGCGGCCAACAGAGGCGCAUACGAUUUUAUGUGGUCCCUGGGAGCAUUACCUGAUGGUUUCCCAGCGGCGGCGUACGCGGCAUACGCGGCAAGCCGCGGCUAUUCUGGGUACCCUAGUUUCGGACUGCCCUACCCGACAGGAGUGCCGGCAGUGUACUACCACGGAACCGGAAGCGAGAACGCAAGCCGCGCGUAUACGGAGACACCGAUGCAACACGUCCAACGGACUGCGCUCCGGAAGAAAUGUAUGAGUGGAUCUUACCAACGGACAGCUCACCCCCAACAACAACACGCCCUUGCUCACGCAAGCUCUUUCUGUGAUGAACAACUACCAGGCGGCCGCAGCGCAGGCCGGAUUUCCGCCGGCGUCGCCGCACGCGGCCGGUGGACAUGGUGGGCCACAGGGCCGGUCAUUUCCUGCGGCCAACUCGCCGGGCCCCAUCGACAUGUAUAGUUCAAGCGCCGCAGCCGCAGCAGCAGCCGCAGCCGCGGACUCAGCAGUCGCCAGCUACGUCCAGGCCGCAGCUAGUCCGCAGCCCCCUACGACCGCGUUCCCUGCGAUCGCCGUGUCUCGUGCCCCGCUCAACUACAGUCCCGGUCCUCUAAUACCAGCGGCGUUCACUAAUGGCUACCAUUGAGCCUUGUUAAGACCUAAUAACAGGAUGGACGAGAGGGCAGAGCGCAGCACGGUCGACUGACGGUACAAUGAGCGGUGUAAAUGCCUUGGAAAAAUUCACCAUGAUGAAUGAUCUCUGGACGGAAGAGGACGCGUACCAUCACGAGCAAUAAAACGAAGAAUCGCGAUUUAGGUAGAAGAAUAACGGUUUCCAACAAAAGGAGGCUUUUCGAUUUUGUAAACAUGAUCGAUCGAUUGCAACGAUCGAACGAAUAAAUAAUCGUGAUUCCCCAGCGGAGAAGAAAGGAAGAGAAUCAAAAUUGAAGAUAUUAGAAAAAAAAAAAUCAAGUAAACUAAGAAAUGUAAAAAAAAAAAAAAUAAAAAAAAAAUAAAAAAUAAAUUAAAAAUCAUUGAAAUGAUAAAAAUAUGAAAAAAAAUAAAUAUAUAUAGAAUUUAUAAAUCGCGAUACACGUCCAGAAAGUUUGCGAGAGAAGCAACAUGGUAGAGGGAGCGGAUAAAUAUAAGGAAAACGUAAAGGGCAGAAACUGCGUAAUGGUAGAUGUGGCCGAAACUGCGUAACAAUGCCCGUUCUCCGACAUUAAUAAAGAAUAAUAUAUUAAUAAUAAUGAAUUAAAUUAAUAUUAUUAAUUGCUAAAUAAUUAAGCGACUAAGUCUAGAAUAUAUAAAUAUUAUAUAUAUAAAUAUAUGAAUAUAUAUAAAUAUAUAUAUAUAUAUAUAUAUAAAUAAUUGAUAAAUAUUAGACGAUAACGUAUGGAUCCUUAGUAUUUAAGGCAGACGAUAAAGUCGCGGAAGAAUACCAACUUACAUACGAAAAUAUUAUUAUAAUUACUGGUUAUUAUUGUAUAACAUUAUGGCGAUUCUAAUUGAUUAUAACAAAAUGGAGAAAGAAGGAUGGAAAGCUGUGCGUCGUGUAAGCUCGCGCGCGUAGCCGUGCGCGUUAUACAUAUAUAUAAAUAUAUAAAUAUAAAUAUAAAUAUAAAUACAAAAAUACAAAUAUAAAUAUAAAUAUAAAUACAAAUAUAAAUAUAAAUAUAAAUAAUAAAAAAAUAUAAUUAUUAUAUACAUAUACGCGUAACUCCGUUCGCACCCGGGAAGAGAACCCGUCGUCUCUCUGUUGGGCUUUCGAGAAUUUUUUUUAGACAAGUAGCGGCGGAGUGAAGAGAGAAAGAGAGAGAGAGAGAGAAGCAAAAAAUAAAUAAAUAAAUAAAUAAAAAUAAAAUAAAAUAAAAAAGAUGUACAAGGAAUUUUUUGAGAAGCGUGAGUCGACGACAAGGAGGAGCACCCGACACGAAUGUUUGAAGGGUAGUGUCGGGCCGGAAGGGAGAUUUGGGAGACGAGACGACGAGGGCGUUAGGCAGGCCAAGAGUGGGCUUCGCCCUUUUCCUUUGUUUCUUGCGCGCGCGUGUCCGCCACUUCUCAGCGUGCUCUUUGCCGACUGAAUGCCGGAAUGGCACUUCUCUCUCGCGUCCCGUCGUUGAAGCACUUUUUCCCUUUUCCCGGGUGUGCAACGAGGGAGAAAAGAGGACGAAUAAAGCACGGAAAGAGCAAGGAGAGGGAGGUUGCGUACAUAGACGUAGGCACGCGUGUUACACGGAUGACGUGACGCUGUUUGCAUUGCUUAUCGUGCGAGGGAUGAAAGAAAAAAAAAAAAAAAAGAAAAAAGAAGAGAAAGGGAAGAGAAAACGCGGGGGCCCUCGAGCCAAGAUCGACGGAUUGGAACUCGCGAGGCUUUAUGUAAGUUAUAGGAACGAAGAGAGAGAGAGAGAGAAAAGAAACAAUAGGGAGAAGGACGAAAAAUGGAAAUGAAUACUGCUUUUAAGAUGCGUAUCGAUUGAGGGAAGAAGAGAUGGCCAUCGCGAAGAAUACUAUUCUACAGAGAAGGAAGAAAGCGAGAGAGUACAUUAAACAUACAUACAGGGUCGCGAGAUCUAUGUAAAAGGACGCUAGGCCUCCGAACGUUGCAUCGUUCAAAAUCUGUAUCCUAUCUAGUGGCGAAAACCGAUGACCGGUGAAUUUCACAGGCUAUUGUGUAGCUGUCCAAUCGAUUAGUUACAUUAACCUCGGCCCAUACAUACAUAUUACACGCGCGCGAAUUAUUGUACCAUUGAUUUACCAUAAUGGCAGCUAUGCAUGACCCUAUGGAUGAAAGCCAGCUAUGGAAACACGAGCAAUGUUCGACGGCACGCAUUUCACACAAGCUCACUGUGAACAUACAUAAUAAACCAUCCACACACUUCCACGUUCAAUCUGUACACGCAUUACAUGCACACAUACAUACAUACACACAUAUACACGAUCCGAAACACAAUAUUAAUAUACGCUUUCAUACGCGUCCGCGGCUUUUUAAACAAAUUAUAAAAACACACGCCUAUAUAAAAAAAAAUAAAUAUAUAUUAAUACAAAUACACGCAGCUACGCAACAACGGGAAGAACCAUACGCAACCAUCAAGUUACGCGAGACAAGAUUCUGUUAAGAGGAGAACAAAUAUAUAUUAUACAAACAUACGCGUGUAUUCAGUCAUUAUACCGUGCGUCCGUAUAUGUACAGAGCGUUAGUUAACGGCGAGAUACCGUGAGAUAUCGUCAAAAUGCGUGAGUUAAAGCGGAGAUUAAGAGUAACGCGUGCGAUAACGAUGAUAAUUUCGAGACGAAGCGAGAUUGUGCGUCUUCUAUAUACCCCUGUGUGUGAGAAAGAAUGAGAGAGAACGUGCUGAUACGUGUGUGCGAGCGAGAGAAAGAGAGAGUCAUUAAAUCUUUAAGAUUGAGGAACACGGUCAUCUGAAAAUGCCAUUUGCGAAUUAAAACGAAGAAGAAGAAGAAAGAGAAAAAAGAGAAAAAGAGAAAAUUGUAAAAUUUAAAUGCGAGCUAACGUGGCGUUGAACGUGAGAGAACAAUAAUCGCGUAUGGUAGCCUUAAUCAGGGAAUAACUGAUUGACAUCAAAAGAUUCUUGCGUUUUUUCGCGCUUAAAAAAAAAACAUUUCGCUGAUCAAAUGGACAAAGGGCGCGAACGGGGAUACUCCAUUCGAUUAUUCGUAAUUGGUCUAGGUUAAAAUAUUAUGUAAUAUCAUACGGGAAACAGGGAGGUAUAAUUUUAUUCGUUUCGUUUUUCGGCGCACGUGUAUAUUUUGUAAAACUUAACUUAAACCUUCGAGAAAGGGUUCAGAGGGCUUGAAGGGCAUCGCGACGCUCGGAUCUUCCUGAAGGGGAGAGAUUGAAAAAAAAGGAAAGAAAAAACAAAAAAAUAAACCGUCGACGUGCAUAAACUCAUUCCGCGGAUUGUAUAAUUCGAGUUUUUUUGUUGAUAUAUUGCUGAUAAAAACUGUUUUCGUACGAUACUAUUAUUGCUAUUAUUAAAUUCGCCAAGCGAGAGUCAACGAGCGAUUAUUAUAAUUAUAAUUAUUAUGAAACGAUGGAUAUACGUGCGACAAUUCUAGGUACGGUUAUUAUUGUAUUCAACAACAGGGUAAAAACAAAAAGAAAAAAAAAAAAAGAAAAGAAGAAAGAAUUGAAAAAUAAGAAUGAUUUUAAAUUAUGGGACGCGUGUCACGUCGAACGGCGGCCAUUUUGUUUUCCUGUGCGCGGGUAUGCGUGCGCACGAUGAGAAAAAAAUUCAAACAAAGGAAAGAAAAAA